AUUGAACGCUGGCGGCAUGCCUUACACAUGCAAGUCGAACGGCAGCGGGGGAGAAGCUUGCUUUUCCUGCCGGCGAGUGGCGAACGGGUGAGUAAUACAUCGGAACGUGCCCUGUAGUGGGGGAUAACUAGUCGAAAGAUUAGCUAAUACCGCAUACGACCUGAGGGUGAAAGUGGGGGACCGCAAGGCCUCAUGCUAUAGGAGCGGCCGAUGUCUGAUUAGCUAGUUGGUGGGGUAAAGGCCUACCAAGGCGACGAUCAGUAGCUGGUCUGAGAGGACGAUCAGCCACACUGGGAAGGGGACAGGGCCCAGACUCCUACGGGAGGCAGCAGUGGGGAAUUUUGGGCAAUGGGCGAAAGCCUGAUCCAGCAAUGCCGCGUGUGUGAAGAAGGCCUUCGGGUUGUAAAGCACUUUUGUCCGGAAAGAAAUGGCUCUGGUUAAUGCCUGGGGUCGAUGACGGUACCGGAAGAAUAAGGACCGGCUAACUACGUGCCAGCCGCCGCCGUAA
Molecule: ribosomal RNA, 508 nt
Filed under: uncultured bacterium
Lineage: Bacteria
Description: partial 16S ribosomal RNA
Rfam family: Bacterial small subunit ribosomal RNA
Source: RNAcentral